This 156-nucleotide ribosomal RNA is filed under the name Ocimum gratissimum. RNAcentral describes it as "5.8S ribosomal RNA". It matches the Rfam family "5.8S ribosomal RNA". Rfam says of the family: 5.8S ribosomal RNA (5.8S rRNA) is a component of the large subunit of the eukaryotic ribosome. It is transcribed by RNA polymerase I as part of the 45S precursor that also contains 18S and 28S rRNA. Lineage: Eukaryota; Viridiplantae; Streptophyta; Magnoliopsida; Lamiales; Lamiaceae. The record is from RNAcentral.
AUUUUUCAACAACGCAUUUGUUCUUUUGGGCAUGGAGGAAGAUCGGAAAGAACCCGAUAAGUUUCUGAAGUCAUAAAUGAUUGAAUUAAUGAAUCUUUGAACGCACAUCGCGCCCCGAGUAAUUCCAUGGGGCUUGCCUGUCCGAGCGUCAUUUCC